CGCGUAGGCGGCUUGCCAAGUCAGGGGUGAAAUCCUGCAGCUCAACUGUAGAAGUGCCUUUGAUACUGGCGAGCUCGAGGGAGGUAGGGGUGGGUGGAACUUCUGGUGGAGCGGUGAAAUGCGUUGAUAUCAGAAGGAACGCCGGUGGCGAAAGCGACCCACUGGAUCUCUACUGACGCUGAGGCGCGAAGCUAGGGGAGCAAACG
RNAcentral lists this ribosomal RNA (206 nucleotides) under uncultured bacterium. RNAcentral describes it as "partial 16S ribosomal RNA". It matches the Rfam family "Bacterial small subunit ribosomal RNA", at positions 568 to 774 of the family's 1533-position model. The record is from RNAcentral.